AUUGGGGUUUUAGAAGUAACCAUUCAUUAUCUGUGAGGUUACGCUUUCCUCUAAUCUUCUCUAGUUUGGGAAUCAUUAGUGUGUUUUCUAAUGCCAAUCCUUGUUGUUGCAUCCAUAAAUACCUGAUGGCACAAGUACUCCAAUUACUUAGACCUGUAGUGAAUUUCAUAGUUGCAACAGUUAAAUUAUCUAAAUAAUUAUACAUUGAUUUAUCUAAAUCCAAUCCUAUAACCUGUGAUUUAACAACAAUUGGAGCCCAAUUUGCAGUAGCAUGAAAACCAGUCCCUAUAUGCAUGCUGGCUGUGUUUAACUUAUUCUUGAGGGUCUCCAUAUCUAUAACUAUUUAGUAUACCCAUAGUGGUUCCAGCACCU
This 372-nucleotide long non-coding RNA is filed under the name Pelobates cultripes (western spadefoot toad). The record is from RNAcentral. Lineage: Eukaryota; Metazoa; Chordata; Amphibia; Anura; Pelobatidae.